GCUGCGUAGCUCACUUAAAGCAUAACGCUGAAAACGUUAAGAAGAACCCUAGAAAGUUCCGCAAGCA
This 67-nucleotide transfer RNA is filed under the name Uranoscopus bicinctus. RNAcentral's name for it is "tRNA-Phe". Lineage: Eukaryota; Metazoa; Chordata; Actinopteri; Uranoscopiformes; Uranoscopidae. The record is from RNAcentral.